UUGAUACAUGCAAGUCGAGCGCAUCCUUCGGGAUGAGCGGCGGACGGGUGAGUAACGCGUGGGGAUGUGCCCUUCUCUACGGAAUAGCCACUGGAAACGGUGAGUAAUACCGUAUACGCCCUCAGGGGGAAAGAUUUAUCGGAGAAGGAUCAGCCCGCGUUAGAUUAGGUAGUUGGUGGGGUAACGGCCUACCAAGCCUACGAUCUAUAGCUGGUUUUAGAGGAUGAUCAGCCACACUGGGACUGAGACACGGCCCAGACUCCUACGGGAGGCAGCAGUAGGGAAUCUUGGACAAUGGGGGCAACCCUGAUCCAGCCAUGCCGCGUGAGUGAAGAAGGCCCUAGGGUCGUAAAGCUCUUUCGCCUGUGAUGAUAAUGACAGUAGCAGGUAAAGAAACCCCGGCUAACUCCGUGCCAGCAGCCGCGGGUAAUACGGAGGGGGUUAGCGUUGUUCGGAAUUACUGGGCGUAAAGCGCGCGUAGGCGGAUUGGAAAGUUGGGGGUGAAAUCCCGGGCUCAACCCCGGAACUGCCUUCAAAACUCCCAGUCUAGAGUUCGAGAGAGGUGAGUGGAAUUCCGAGUGUAGAGGUGAAAUUCGUANAUUUUCG
Molecule: ribosomal RNA, 606 nt
Filed under: uncultured bacterium
Lineage: Bacteria
Description: bacterial SSU rRNA
Rfam family: Bacterial small subunit ribosomal RNA
Source: RNAcentral